CUAGUCCUAGGGCGCAGCAGUGAGGAAUAUUGGUCAAUGGGCGGAAGCCUGAACCAGCCAAGUCGCGUGAGGGAAUAAGGCCCUACGGGUCGUAAACCUCGUUUGCCGGGGAGCAAGGGCGGGGACGUGUCCCGGCCCGGAGAGUACCCGGAGAAAAAGCAUCGGCUAACUCCGUGCCAGCAGCCGCGGUAAUACGGAGGAUGCGAGCGUUAUCCGGAUUUAUUGGGUUUAAAGGGUGCGUAGGCGGGCUUUUAAUUCAGCGGUAAAAAUUCGGGGCUGAACCCCGGCCGGCCGUUGAAACUGGG
This 305-nucleotide ribosomal RNA is filed under the name uncultured bacterium. RNAcentral's name for it is "bacterial SSU rRNA". It matches the Rfam family "Bacterial small subunit ribosomal RNA", at positions 333 to 637 of the family's 1533-position model. The record is from RNAcentral.